This 975-nucleotide ribosomal RNA is filed under the name human gut metagenome. Its description in RNAcentral is "bacterial LSU rRNA". It matches the Rfam family "Bacterial large subunit ribosomal RNA", at positions 1954 to 2925 of the family's 2925-position model. The record is from RNAcentral.
AGGUAGCGAAAUUCCUUGUCGGGUAAGUUCCGACCCGCACGAAUGGUGUAACGAUCUGGGCACUGUCUCAACUACCCACCCGGCGAAAUUGUAGUACCGGUGAAGAUGCCGGUUACCUGCGGCAAGACGGAAAGACCCCAUGGAGCUUUACUGUAGCCUGAUAUUGGGUUUCGGAAAUCUAUGUACAGGAUAGGCGGGAGACUGGGAAGUAUGAGCGUCAGCUUAUACGGAGUCAUUGUUGGGAUACCGCCCUUAGGUUUCUGGAAUUCUAACCUGCGACCGUGAAUCCGGUCGGGGGACAUUGUCAGGUGGGCAGUUUGACUGGGGCGGUCGCCUCCGAAAAGGUAACGGAGGCGCUCAAAGGUUGGCUCAGCACGGACGGAAACCGUGCCUCAGAGUGUAAACGCAAAAGCCAGCCUAACUGCGAGGAUGACGGUCCGAGCAGUAACGAAAGUUGGAGUUAGUGAUCCGGCGGUAUGUGAAUGGAAAUGCCGUCGCUCAACGGAUAAAAGCUACCCUGGGGAUAACAGGCUGAUCUCCCCCAAGAGUCCACAUCGACGGGGAGGUUUGGCACCUCGAUGUCGGCUCAUCACAUCCUGGGGCUGUAUUCGGUCCCAAGGGUUCGGCUGUUCGCCGAUUAAAGUGGUACGCGAGCUGGGUUCAGAACGUCGCGAGACAGUUCGGUCCCUAUCUGUCGUGGGCGCAGGAUAUUUGAGGAGCUCUGUCCUUAGUACGAGAGGACCGGGAUGGACGUACCUCUGGUGCACCAGUUGUCAUGCCAAUGGCACGGCUGGGCAGCUACGUACGGAACGGAUAAACGCUGAAAGCAUCUAAGCGUGAAGCCGACUCCAAGAUUAGAUAUCCCAUUGCAUAAGCAAGUAAGACCCCUUGAGGACUACGAGGUUGAUAGGCUGCGUGUGUAAGUGUCGUGAGGCAUUUAGCUUGGCAGUACUAAUAGGUCGAGGGCUUGACCAC